Selaginella moellendorffii is the source of this 544-nucleotide long non-coding RNA. RefSeq lists it as uncharacterized. The record is from RefSeq and is a predicted model, not a curated record. The transcript is spliced from 3 exons. Lineage: Eukaryota; Viridiplantae; Streptophyta; Lycopodiopsida; Selaginellales; Selaginellaceae.
CCUCAUUUAGCAAUGGCUAAAUGGCUACUUACUUUUCUUUGUCUUGGUUUUUGGUGCAAACGGAAAAAGAUCCCCAUUGUAUGGUGGAACCGAUGGGAAAAGUUUCAGUGACGGGCAGUCUCAGGGUAUUGUGAGAGUCAAGAUCUGGUCUGAGUAUAUUGUGGAUGGGAUACAGGUUCAAUCAGAUCAAGGGGGAGAACAUGUUUGGUCUGAUCCUCAUGGCACUUCAAGGGGGGAAGCCAAAGAGGUGGUUUUAGCUUAUCCGGAUGAAUACAUCUACAAGAUUUCAGGGCGCACUGGACCAAAUCCAUGGACUUCUAAUGGCUUGAGUAGGCUUUACUUGCACGUCAACGAUAGAAGGACCAAUGCCCAAACUACCUUUGGCCCAUUUGGUACCCACGACUACUCCAAUCAGACUAAAUUUGAUUCCCCAGAAGGGACAGUGGUUGGAUUUUUUGGUUAUGCCUCUUCAACAACAUACUUCCGAGGAAUUGGCGUCUAUUUCCAAGAUCCUUGUGACUGUCCAACACCAUCACCACCUCCU